GGGAGUGUGGCUCAGUGGUUAGAGCGUCUGGCUUUUCAUGCAAAAAGUCCUAGCUUCAGUCCCCAACCUCUCACA
Molecule: non-coding RNA, 75 nt
Organism: Podarcis lilfordi (Lilford's wall lizard)
Lineage: Eukaryota; Metazoa; Chordata; Lepidosauria; Squamata; Lacertidae
Source: the annotation of a GenBank genome assembly